GAUGAAGAACGUAGCGAAAUGCGAUAAGUAAUGUGAAUUGCAGAAUCCAGUGAAUCAUCGAAUCUUUGAACGCACAUUGCGCCCGCCAGCAUUCUGGCGGGCAUGCCUGUUCGAGCGUCAUUUCAACCCUCGACCUCCCUUUGGGGAAGUCGGCGUUGGGGACCGGCAGCACACCGCCGGCCCUGAAAUGGAGUGGCGGCCCGUCCGCGGCGACCUCUGCGUAGUAAUCCAACUCGCACCGGAACCCCGACGCGGCCACACCGUAAAACACCCAACUUCUGAACGUUGACCUCGAAUCAGGUAGGACUACCCGCUGAACUUAAGCAUAUCAAUAAGCGGAGGA
RNAcentral lists this unclassified non-coding RNA (343 nucleotides) under soil metagenome. RNAcentral describes it as "partial contains 5.8S ribosomal RNA, internal transcribed spacer 2, and large subunit ribosomal RNA". The stretch from base 1 to 120 matches the Rfam family "5.8S ribosomal RNA", at positions 35 to 154 of the family's 154-position model. The record is from RNAcentral.